AGCGAACGCUGGCGGCAGGCCUAACACAUGCAAGUCGAACGAACCUUUCGGGGUUAGUGGCGGACGGGUGAGUAACACGUGGGAACGUGCCUUUAGGUUCGGAACAACUCAGGGAAACUUGUGCUAAUACCGAAUGUGCCCUUCGGGGGAAGGAUUUAUCGCCUUUAGAGCGGCCCGCGUCUGAUUAGCUAGUUGGUUGAGGUAAUGGCGCACCAAGGCGAGGAUCAGUAGCUGGUCUGAGAGGAGGAUCAGCCACAUUGGGACUGGGACACGGCCCAAACUCCUACGGGAGGCAGCAGUGGGGAAUCUUGCGCAAUGAGCGAAAGCCUGACGCAGCCAUGCCGCGUGAAUGAUGAAGGUCUUAGGAUUGUAAAAUUCUUUCACCGGGGACGAUAAUGACGGUACCCGGAGAAGAAGCCCCGGCUAACUUCGU
RNAcentral lists this ribosomal RNA (433 nucleotides) under uncultured bacterium. RNAcentral's name for it is "partial 16S ribosomal RNA". It matches the Rfam family "Bacterial small subunit ribosomal RNA", at positions 29 to 506 of the family's 1533-position model. The record is from RNAcentral.